Molecule: long non-coding RNA, 269 nt
Filed under: Elaeis guineensis (African oil palm)
Lineage: Eukaryota; Viridiplantae; Streptophyta; Magnoliopsida; Arecales; Arecaceae
Description: long non-coding RNA (EGUI_LNC000762)
Source: RNAcentral
AUAGUAUAAACUAAAUUUAGGAGUUGAUGUAUCACGUGAUUUAUUUAUACACUCUUUAUAUCAAAAAAAAGCUCCACAAUAUUGACAUUCAUGUUUAAGUUCUCCAAUAUUUAAUAAUUUACUGUGUAUAUCAUGUAAUAAUGGCAAUAGAAUCAAAAGAUAUUUCGGAUUAAAUUGUAUAAGGUGAAAGAUCUAUUGUUCAACAACUUAUUGGAAUAUCUAGAAGGAGUUGUAGUACGGGAAUUUGGUUCAACUAUAUGUAUAUUUGU